This 996-nucleotide ribosomal RNA is filed under the name uncultured bacterium. RNAcentral describes it as "bacterial SSU rRNA". It matches the Rfam family "Bacterial small subunit ribosomal RNA", at positions 355 to 1375 of the family's 1533-position model. The record is from RNAcentral.
UGGGGAAUAUUGCACAAUGGGGGAAACCCUGAUGCAGCGACGCCGCGUGGAGGAAGAAGGUCUUCGGAUUGUAAACUCCUGUUGUUGAGGAAGAUAAUGACGGUACUCAACAAGGAAGUGACGGCUAACUACGUGCCAGCAGCCGCGGUAAAACGUAGGUCACAAGCGUUGUCCGGAAUUACUGGGUGUAAAGGGAGCGCAGGCGGGCGAUCAAGUUGGAAGUGAAAUCCAUGGGCUCAACCCAUGAACUGCUUUCAAAACUGGUCGUCUUGAGUAGUGCAGAGGUAGGCGGAAUUCCCGGUGUAGCGGUGGAAUGCGUAGAUAUCGGGAGGAACACCAGUGGCGAAGGCGACCUACUGGGCACCAACUGACGCUGAGGCUCGAAAGCAUGGGUAGCAAACAGGAUUAGAUACCCUGGUAGUCCGUGCCGUAAACGAUGAUUACUAGGUGUUGGAGGAUUGACCCCUUCAGUGCCGCAGUUAACACAAUAAGUAAUCCACCUGGGGAGUACGACCGCAAGGUUGAAACUCAAAGGAAUUGACGGGGGCCCGCACAAGCAGUGGAGUAUGUGGUUUAAUUCGAAGCAACGCGAAGAACCUUACCAGGUCUUGACAUCCGAUGCAUAGCUUAGAGAUAAGUGAAGUCCUUCGGGACAUCGAGACAGGUGGUGCAUGGUUGUCGUCAGCUCGUGUCGUGAGAUGUUGGGUUAAGUCCCGCAACGAGCGCAACCCUUAUUGCCAGUUACUACGCAAGAGGACUCUGGCGAGACUGCCGUUGACAAAACGGAGGAAGGUGGGGAUGACGUCAAAUCAUCAUGCCCUUUAUGACCUGGGCUACACACGUACUACAAUGGCGUUUAACAAAGAGAAGCAAGACCGCGAGGUGGAGCAAAACUCAAAAACAACGUCUCAGUUCAGAUUGCAGGCUGCAACUCGCCUGCAUGAAGUCGGAAUUGCUAGUAAUCGCGGAUCAGCAUGCCGCGGUGAAUACGUUCCC